RNAcentral lists this transfer RNA (71 nucleotides) under Bos taurus (domestic cattle). It matches the Rfam family "tRNA". From Rfam's summary of the family: Transfer RNA (tRNA) molecules are approximately 80 nucleotides in length. Their secondary structure includes four short double-helical elements and three loops (D, anti-codon, and T loops). Further hydrogen bonds mediate the characteristic L-shaped molecular structure. tRNAs have two regions of fundamental functional importance: the anti-codon, which is responsible for specific mRNA codon recognition, and the 3' end, to which the tRNAs corresponding amino acid is attached (by aminoacyl-tRNA synthetases). tRNAs cope with the degeneracy of the genetic code in two manners: having more than one tRNA (with a specific anti-codon) for a particular amino acid; and 'wobble' base-pairing, i.e. permitting non-standard base-pairing at the 3rd anti-codon position. The record is from Rfam by way of RNAcentral. RNAcentral also lists the same sequence under 4 other names. Lineage: Eukaryota; Metazoa; Chordata; Mammalia; Artiodactyla; Bovidae.
UCCCUGAUGCUUCAGUGGUAGAGAAUCUGCCUGCAGCGCAGGAGACACAGGUUCAAUCCCUGAUCUGGAAA